Molecule: small nuclear RNA, 165 nt
Organism: Manis pentadactyla (Chinese pangolin)
Lineage: Eukaryota; Metazoa; Chordata; Mammalia; Pholidota; Manidae
Product: U1 spliceosomal RNA
Exons: 1
Source: RefSeq, a predicted model, not a curated record
AUAUUUACCUGGCAGGGAAGAUACCAUAAUUACAAAGGUGAUUUUUCUCAGGGUGAGACUUAUCCAUUGCCCUCCAGAUGGGCUGACCCCUGCAAUUUCCCCAGAUAUGGGAAACUGAACUGCUUAAUUUGUGGUAGUGGGGGACUGCGUUUGUGCUUUCCCCUG